CAGUAGCCGCGGGAAUACGGAGGGGGCUAGCGUUGUUCGGAAUUACUGGGCGUAAAGCGCACGUAGGCGGCUUGGUAAGUUAGAGGUGAAAGCCCGGAGCUCAACUCCGGAAUUGCCUUUAAGACUGCCGAGCUAGCAGGUGAGAGAGGUAAGUGGAAUUCCGAGUGUAGAGGUGAAAUUCGUAGAUAUUCGGAAGAACACCAGUGGCGAAGGCGGCUUACUGGCUCAUACUGGACGCUGAGGUGCGAAAGCGUGGGGAGCAAACAGGAUUAGAUACCCCGGUAGUCCCUGUCUCUUAUAC
RNAcentral lists this ribosomal RNA (301 nucleotides) under uncultured bacterium. RNAcentral describes it as "partial 16S ribosomal RNA". It matches the Rfam family "Bacterial small subunit ribosomal RNA", at positions 509 to 807 of the family's 1533-position model. The record is from RNAcentral.